CACGUGAGCAACCUACCCUUGACACUGGGAUAACAGUUGGAAACAGCUGCUAAUACCGGAUAUGAACUCAGCAGGCAUCUGCCGAGUUGGAAAGCUCCGACGGUCAAGGAUGGGCUCGCGGCCUAUCAGCUCGUUGGUGAGGUAACGGCUCACCAAGGCGACGACGGGUAGCCGGCCUGAGAGGGCGACCGGCCACACUGGGACUGAGAUACGGCCCAGACUCCUACGGGAGGCAGCAGUGGGGAAUAUUGCGCAAUGGGCGAAAGCCUGACGCAGCAACGCCGCGUGCGGGAUGACGGCCUUCGGGUUGUAAACCGCUUUCAGCAGGGACGAAACUGACGGUACCUGCAGAAGAAGCACCGGCUAACUACGU
This 373-nucleotide ribosomal RNA is filed under the name uncultured bacterium. RNAcentral's name for it is "bacterial SSU rRNA". It matches the Rfam family "Bacterial small subunit ribosomal RNA", at positions 114 to 506 of the family's 1533-position model. The record is from RNAcentral.